GCUCCAGUAGCGUAUAUUAAAGUUGUUGCAGUUAAAAAGCUCGUAGUUGGACUUCCACUCCUCGGGAGCAGCCUUGCAACUCUGCAUGUCCUUAACCGGAUGGUAGAGACCUGCGGGCCUUUACCUUGAGAAAACUAGAGUGUUUAAGGCAGGCUUCGCCUGAAUACUGCAGCUGGGAAUAAUGACGCACCACCGUCUUG
RNAcentral lists this ribosomal RNA (200 nucleotides) under uncultured eukaryote. Its description in RNAcentral is "partial 18S ribosomal RNA". It matches the Rfam family "Eukaryotic small subunit ribosomal RNA", at positions 588 to 835 of the family's 1831-position model. The record is from RNAcentral.